CGAGAAGAGAAUUCUAAGGCGCGCGGAAGAACUCUCGUUAAGGAACUCGGCAAAAUGACCCCGUAACUUCGGGAGAAGGGGUGCGUCGGUAGGGUGAAGUAGCCCGAGGGGGCCGCAGUGAAAAGGCCCAAGCGACUGUUUAGCAAAAACACAGGUCUGUGCGAAGCCGCAAGGCGAAGUAUACGGCUGACGCCUGCCCGGUGCUGGAAGGUUAAGGGGAGUGGUAAGCCUUCGGGCGAAGCUAUGAACCGAAGCCCCAGUAAACGGCGGCCGUAACUAUAACGGUCCUAAGGUAGCGAAAUUCCUUGUCAGGUAAAUUCUGACCCGCACGAAUGGCGUAACGACUUGGGCGCUGUCUCAACGAGAGAUCCGGUGAAAUUUUAAUACCUGUGAAGAUGCAGGUUACCCGCGACAAGACGGAAAGACCCCAUGGAGCUUUACUGCAGCUUGAUAUUGAAUUUGGGUACGAUCUGUACAGGAUAGGUGGGAGCCGUUGAACUUUGAGCGCCAGCUUGAAGGGAGGCAUCCUUGGGAUACCACCCUGAUCGUAUCUAGGUUCUAACUUGGUACCGUGAUCCGGUGCGAGGACAGUGUCAGGUGGGCAGUUUGACUGGGGCGGUCGCCUCCUAAAGAGUAACGGAGGCGCCCCAAGGUUCCCUCAGAAUGGUUGGAAAUCAUUCGAAGAGUGCAAAGGCAGAAGGGAGCUUGACUGCGAGACCUACAAGUCGAGCAGGGACGAAAGUCGGGCUUAGUGAUCCGGUGGUACCGCAUGGAAGGGCCAUCGCUCAACGGAUAAAAGCUACCCUGGGGAUAACAGGCUUAUCUCCCCCAAGAGUCCACAUCGACGGGGAGGUUUGGCACCUCGAUGUCGGCUCAUCGCAUCCUGGGGCUGAAGUAGGUCCCAAGGGUUGGGCUGUUCGCCCAUUAAAGCGGUACGCGAGCUGGGUUCAGAACGUCGUGAGACAGUUCGGUCCCUAUCUGUCGUGGGCGUAGGAAAUUUGAGAGGAGCUGUCCUUAGUACGAGAGGACCGGGAUGGACGUACCGCUGGUGUACCAGUUGUUCCGCCAGGAGCACCGCUGGGUAGCUAUGUACGGAAGGGAUAAGCGCUGAAAGCAUCUAAGCGUGAAGCCCCCCUCAAGAUGAGAUUUCCCAAUUAGUAAGACCCCUUGGAGACGACGAGGUAGAUAGGUUGGGGGUGGAAGUGCAGUAAUGCAUAGAGCU
RNAcentral lists this ribosomal RNA (1222 nucleotides) under Paenibacillus sp. ICGEB2008. RNAcentral's name for it is "bacterial LSU rRNA". It matches the Rfam family "Bacterial large subunit ribosomal RNA", at positions 1668 to 2892 of the family's 2925-position model. The record is from RNAcentral. Lineage: Bacteria; Bacillati; Bacillota; Bacilli; Caryophanales; Paenibacillaceae.